UGAAUGACUUGUUAGGUGAGGCUCCUAUACAAACACAGGCUGCUGCUCAGAUUUGUCGAAAGACAGUAAUGGGUAGAACAGGGAUUGCCGAAUUAAGGCUUUUCAAAAAGCAGCUAAAAGCACCGCUUUUUACGUUGUAUAGUGCUAAAACUCAACGAAGAGAAAACUG
RNAcentral lists this small RNA (169 nucleotides) under Enterococcus sp. RNAcentral's name for it is "Magnesium sequence". It matches the Rfam family "M-box riboswitch aptamer (ykoK leader)". From Rfam's summary of the family: M-box riboswitch, also know as ykoK leader is described as a metaloregulatory RNA that sense divalent metals and function as a genetic control element of genes related to divalent metal transport in bacteria. It was first reported upstream of the B.subtilis ykoK gene and genes with related functions in other bacteria. Phylogenetic analysis of the distribution of M-box RNAs across bacterial genomes revealed that M-box riboswitches are most often employed for the regulation of Mg2+ transporter genes RNAcentral also lists the same sequence under 1 other name. Lineage: Bacteria; Bacillati; Bacillota; Bacilli; Lactobacillales; Enterococcaceae. The record is from RNAcentral.